AGGGAAUCUUCCACAAUGGACGCAAGUCUGAUGGAGCAACGGCCGCGUGAGUGAAGAAGGCUUUCGGGUCGUAAAACUCUGUUAUUGAAGAAGAACGUGUGUGACAGUAACUGGUCAUGCAGUGACGGUAUUCAAUCAGAAAGUCACGGCUAACUACGUGCCAGCAGCCGCGGUAAUACGUAGGUGGCAAGCGUUGUCCGGAUUUAUUGGGCGUAAAGCGAGUGCAGGCGGUCUUUUAAGUCUGAUGUGAAAGCCUUCGGCUUAACCGAAGAAGGGCAUCGGAAACUGGGAGACUUGAGUGCAGAAGAGGAGAGUGGAACUCCAUGUGUAGCGGUGAAAUGCGUAGAUAUAUGGAAGAACACCAGUGGCGAAGGCGGCUCUCUGGUCUGUAACUGACGCUGAGGCUCGAAAGCGUGGGUAGCAAACAGGAUUAGAUACCCUGGUAGUCCAC
RNAcentral lists this ribosomal RNA (451 nucleotides) under uncultured bacterium. Its description in RNAcentral is "partial 16S ribosomal RNA". It matches the Rfam family "Bacterial small subunit ribosomal RNA", at positions 356 to 798 of the family's 1533-position model. The record is from RNAcentral.